AAGUCGUAACAAGGUUUCCGUAGGUGAACCUGCGGAAGGAUCAUUAAAUGAAAAGCUGGUUUACCAGUAUACGGCCCCUGGGUUUGUUUCUGACAAGCGCCAGGAUCAGUCGUCAUUUAUACCCAUGUUUUUUGCGUACUACUUGUUUCCUUGGUAGGCUUGCCUACCAUUAGGACCACAUAAAACCUUUUGUAAUUGCAGUCAGCGUCAGAAAUAACUUAAUAGUUACAACUUUCAACAACGGAUCUCUUGGUUCUG
This 258-nucleotide unclassified non-coding RNA is filed under the name fungal sp. RNAcentral describes it as "partial internal transcribed spacer region". The stretch from base 1 to 46 matches the Rfam family "Eukaryotic small subunit ribosomal RNA", at positions 1786 to 1831 of the family's 1831-position model. The record is from RNAcentral. RNAcentral also lists the same sequence under 1 other name. Lineage: Eukaryota; Fungi.